Molecule: non-coding RNA, 2493 nt
Organism: Macaca mulatta (Rhesus monkey)
Lineage: Eukaryota; Metazoa; Chordata; Mammalia; Primates; Cercopithecidae
Source: RefSeq, a predicted model, not a curated record
GUAUGCUUCUUGACGUAUCUACAUAAUGAGGAAUACAAAUCUUUAUAUCUUUUAUCAGUAACUAUUCAUAGUUUAAUUGUGUAAAUUUUAAAAUAUCACACUUUUAUAAUCUUGAACAUACUUGUGCAUAUUUUUUCUACAUUUCUGAUUAUACUAGUAAGCAUUUAACACAUAAUGUGAACCAGUCACCAUGCUUAGUCCUGAGAAUUUAGAAAUACAAAUAUUUGAUCUCUGUCCUGAGAGUUCUUAGUCCAGGAGAGGAGACAGAAGAGUGGAAACAAAAUCACAAGAAGAAUGUGUGAGUUUACAGAGAAAACUGCCAGGCACUGUCUGAGUCAAGGAAGGGUGCCCACCUCUGACUAGGAGUAAUGAGUCAGAAAAAAAAAAAUGUUUUUGAAGAUGUACUGUACGAAUUGACCAGUCCAUGGGUAAUGCAGAGUGGAUCCAGGUGGAUGCCAAGCGUACAGUUUCACAGCCGAGAAUCACUGAGCUUGGGACAUUCUGAUCCAUACAGAAGCUGAUGGCAAAUUCCUCAUCCUCCUCUACAAAGACAGGCAUUGUCUUUACCUUGGCAUGGAAACAAGUUUUCUUCUGAUGAGAUGUUGAAGAUUUUAUCAUUAUGGAACGUCUUCAGAGAUGCAGAUGUUCUCUAUAAUUAUUAUACGUGUCAAGAAAUAAUUCUGCUGUCUGACCCAAAGAGACAAACUAUCUCUAGCCUCUAAAGGUCUUUGCUGUGCAUGUAUCCUUGAAAAGGUAGUCCAAGACAUGUGGAAAUGCCAUGGAAAUUGUCUCUAACAUCCCCAUUUCCUAAAUUCUGUACAAAUGCAUAAAACUGGUUAAAUAUUUAAGGAAAUAGCUUAAUCUUUAAAAACCCAUCAGUCUAGUUGCUGCUAAUAGUACAUUGAAUGUGAUUGUUUUGUUUUUGCUGCUUUGGAGUUGGAAACUUUCUAUACAGGACAUGCUAAGAGAUGAAGAAUCCCAUUUUGUGGGAUUAGACUCAAUACUCACUGUAAGGAUUUAUAAGGACAAACCAGAAGACUAAAACAAAUGGCUGGAAAGAGAAUUUCACUAGAGAUGUACCAGUGUGCUGUGACAUUUUUCUUUUGCUUCCACUGGAAGGGGAAAAGGGUUCCCUCCUCUUCACCUUAUACCAAGUUAGGGAGGUUAAAAAGAACCUACCAGAGAGUUUGGCCUAUGUCCUCUGGACUUUGGGGGUGUAGAAACUGCCUAACUCGUGUAUAAAGGCAAAAACCUGGAUAACUUCUUUGAAUAUUGAGCAUAGACAGAGAAGAAGCUGGACUCCACCACUGGCAGGACAAAGAAUGGUGAGAAUCAAAAAUUCUGGUAAGUUCUCAUGGAUGGUCUAUAGGCCACAUGUCUGGGUACCUAACAUUUAUUCUGGUCCCACAGCAAUAAAUUCAUAAGUGUUCUUGGUUCAAGCAGUUUACAUUAGCAUGAAGAGCUUGAAUAUGAUUAAUGAGAAGUUUGUUCAGCCAUAAGGGUACCCUGUGCUAUAUCCUCUUCACCAAACUGUGCAAUGUGUGAGUAAGAUUAAUGUGUUAUGCUGAAACCAAGUGUGUUGUAUACAGUCAAGUCUCUGUCCAGAACUGAUUUAGUCUCAUGCUCAUCAGGCUGUGUGUGAAGGGGAAGCUGAGCUUCCAUAAGGUCUAGCAUCUCUCAUUCACACAGGCAUUGUCAUCCACAAGUGUGUAUGCCCUGCUGAAGAUUGCAGGCUGUAAACGUACAUCCUGCUUGUUCGUAGGUGAUAUUGAUGACCUUUUGUGCUGUGAAUCUUGACUCAGCAGACCUCUUGAUUUAAUCAAGUGAUGUCUGGUCUUUCUGUAUAUCUGAACUUACUUCUUGACAUUGCCCAGUGGUGAAGUAUACAAUGUCACAUUGGGUUGAAAAGUAUAGGGAAAGUGGACAUUCUUUUAUUAUGUUGGUAAAGUGUAAGUUGGUAAAACUCAUAUGGAUUGAUAGACUAUACAUAACUGUUUAACGGAGACAGUCCAAUUUAUAUCUGUUUUUUUUUUCAGUGUAAUUAUAACUAGUACCUCAUUUCACUAUCAAAACAUUCCCACAUGGAUAAUAAAUUAUAUGGUCAUCCUUUAAAGGGUAAUUUGUCAAUAUGUACUAAAAUGAUAAAUUCUCAUAUCCUUUGACACAUAAAUUCAACUUAAGGUAUUAUUUCACAUAGAUAUCUUCUGACAUAUAUGUAAAAUGAUACAUACAAAGUUCUUCAUUAGAGCAUUAUUUGUAAUGUGAAAGAUUAGAAACAACAUAAAUGUUAAUACUUACCAACAGAGUACUGAUGAAAUAAAUUAUGAUAAUCCACAUAAAAAUACAAUGGAGCCAUUACAAAAGAAUAAAGAAGGUCUUCAUGUAGUAAGCAGGGUGACCUCAAGAUAUAUCAUUAAGUUUAAAGUUUAAAAUGGCAAGAUUUACAGCCGGGCACAGUGACUCACACCUGUAAUCCCAGCACUUUGGGAGGCC